AAACAAAGACGAAGGAGGUGCAGGAUUAUCACAUGUGGGAGUGCACAAAGUAAAAAAAAAGGAAAAGUAUGAUGAGGUGUGUUUAGUAGAGAUGGGAGUGCAACAAGUAGAAUAUAAAACAAGCCCAAAAGUGACAAUAAAAAUGCAGAGAGAGAGAGUGAGGUCAGCAAACAUGAUGGUGCAGGAAGUAAACAAAACUCAACAAAAAAAAGCGCACAAUGACAUAGGAGUGUGGGUUAGUAAAAAUAGUGAUGCCAUCAGCAAGGAGGUGUAUGUAUAAUAAAACAAGGGCUGAAAAAGUAACAACAGGGGUGUGAGAACAUUAAAACAGUGGUGUAGAAAGUUAAUAGAGUGUCCAACCCAAAAUAACACUUAAACACAAAAAGCAAAACCCUAAAGAGAGUUUUUUCUCCUUCACACCACUCUCACUCACGGCCAGAGAGCCUCACCCACUCACAGCACCGACACCCACGUGCGCUACACCGUUCCGGCGGGCCAGGGACGCCGGCGACGACGCCGACCAUCACUCAUCGGCGACACAUCUCUUUCUCCCUCUCCAACACGCACAAGACCCUUCCUUCUCGUCAUCGCCCCCCAUCUCUGCUUCAACACACCGUCGCGCAGCUGGCUUGCCGGUGACGCCAACCGGUGCCGGAGACGUUGACCUCCUUCGCGAGACGCAACGACUCCGUUCUCGCGCUCCACAGAACUAAUCGGCUACUGCGACUUUCGCGGCUCUGACGAUCAACCAACAUCACUGCUACCAACUCCGUUCCACACCGGAGCCAUCGCUGAACCGGCCACCGUGAUUGGGACACGCGAGCACCAUGGUAACCCAACCCCCUGGCCUUCGCGACCCUAAUCGCCUCCGCUACGCCCCAAGCCUCUCGUUCUUCUUCUUGCGCGAGUCACCAAGGUUUGGAAUCCGCAUCACAGAGCCCCACUACAGUGCUCCCAACCGUGACGGAGCUGCCCUCAUUCAGCCCAUUCAAAGUGAAUGCGAAAAUGAUGAUGGAGGAAUCUUGUGUUUGUGUUAAGUGCGAUGGGAAGAAGGUGGUGAUAAGUUUUCUGGUGAAUUAAUGAUCCAAACUGUUUUAGGAUGAACGAGUAAAAAUGGUGAGAAUCUGUUUGGUUAUGUGGUGAUGAAUGAUGGUGAAACAGAGAGGAUGAAGGGGUAGUGGAUGAAACUAGUUUGGAGAUUAUGCGUGCACAGUUGAGGGAGAAUGGAGUGGUGAGAGCGUGAAGGUGGUGGAUGAAUGAUGGUGAAAGGUGGUGACAAACCUUGUUAAAGGCUAGAGGUAUGAUGAGGGUGUGAGGAUGACGAGGGUGAUAAUGGAGGAUUCUUCAACAGUAAUGUAGUAAUGCCCACAACAGAUUCAAUGAUUCAAAUAAAUGACACGCAAAAUGCAAUAUACACAACUACAUUUUAUUCAUUCUCAAGCACAACACAACAUCAUCAGUUUCAUCUCAAACAUUCAAGUAUUCAUAUGGAAAACUUACCUCUUGCAGUCCCUAUUGUCAAACGAAAGUUCCUUGAUCAAAUGGCUCUCUUCUGUUGUUUUUACUCUCUGUAAUGCAAUCUAUUUUUUUUUCAGCA
Molecule: long non-coding RNA, 1597 nt
Organism: Vigna unguiculata (cowpea)
Lineage: Eukaryota; Viridiplantae; Streptophyta; Magnoliopsida; Fabales; Fabaceae
Source: RefSeq, a predicted model, not a curated record